AGAGUUUGAUCCUGGCUCAGGAUGAACGCUAGCGGCAGGCUUAAUACAUGCAAGUCGAGGGGCAGCAUGGUGUAGCAAUACACUGAUGGCGACCGGCAAACGGGUGCGGAACACGUACAGAACCUUCCUUCAAGCGGGGAAUAGCCCAGAGAAAUUUGGAUUAAUACCCCAUAGCAUAAUGGAGUGGCAUCACUUUGUUAUUAAAGAUUUAUCACUUGAAGAUGGCUGUGCGGCUGAUUAGGUAGUUGGCGGGGUAACGGCCCACCAAGCCUGCGAUCAGUAACUGGUGUGAGAGCACGACCAGUCACACGGGCACUGAGACACGGGCCCGACUCCUACGGGAGGCAGCAGUAAGGAAUAUUGGUCAAUGGACGAAAGUCUGAACCAGCCAUGCCGCGUGGAGGAUGAAGGUCCUCUGGAUUGUAAACUUCUUUUAUCUGGGACGAAAAAAGGUCUUUCUAGAUCGUCUGACGGUACCAGAUGAAUAAGCACCGGCUAACUCCGUGCCAGCAGCCGCGGUAAUACGGAGGGUGCAAGCGUUAUCCGGAUUCACUGGGUUUAAAGGGUGCGUAGGUGGGUUGGUAAGUCAGUGGUGAAAUCUUCGAGCUUAACUCGGAAACUGCCAUUGAUACUAUCAGUCUUGAAUAUUGUGGAGGUUAGCGGAAUAUGUCAUGUAGCGGUGAAAUGCUUAGAUAUGACAUAGAACACCAAUUGCGAAGGCAGCUGGCUACACAUAUAUUGACACUGAGGCACGAAAGCGUGGGGAUCAAACAGGAUUAGAUACCCUGGUAGUCCACGCC
RNAcentral lists this ribosomal RNA (800 nucleotides) under uncultured bacterium. Its description in RNAcentral is "bacterial SSU rRNA". It matches the Rfam family "Bacterial small subunit ribosomal RNA", at positions 8 to 801 of the family's 1533-position model. The record is from RNAcentral.